This 22-nucleotide microRNA is filed under the name Hyalella azteca. RNAcentral describes it as "miR-1820". Lineage: Eukaryota; Metazoa; Arthropoda; Malacostraca; Amphipoda; Hyalellidae. The record is from RNAcentral.
UGAUUGUUUUUCGAUGAUUGUU